CCAGACAGCCAGGAUGUUGGCUUAGAAGCAGCCAUCAUUUAAAGAAAGCGUAAUAGCUCACUGGUCGAGUCGGCCUGCGCGGAAGAUGUAACGGGGCUAAACCAUGCACCGAAGCUGCGGCAGCGACGCUGAUGCGUUGUUGGGUAGGGGAGCGUUCUGUAAGCCUGCGAAGGUGGCCUGUGAGGGUUGCUGGAGGUAUCAGAAGUGCGAAUGCUGACAUAAGUAACGAUAAAGCGGGUGAAAAGCCCGCUCGCCGGAAGUC
This 262-nucleotide ribosomal RNA is filed under the name Salmonella enterica subsp. enterica serovar Lubbock. RNAcentral describes it as "partial 23S ribosomal RNA". It matches the Rfam family "Bacterial large subunit ribosomal RNA", at positions 1085 to 1345 of the family's 2925-position model. Lineage: Bacteria; Pseudomonadati; Pseudomonadota; Gammaproteobacteria; Enterobacterales; Enterobacteriaceae. The record is from RNAcentral.